This 464-nucleotide ribosomal RNA is filed under the name Vreelandella stevensii. RNAcentral's name for it is "partial 16S ribosomal RNA". It matches the Rfam family "Bacterial small subunit ribosomal RNA", at positions 338 to 795 of the family's 1533-position model. The record is from RNAcentral. Lineage: Bacteria; Pseudomonadati; Pseudomonadota; Gammaproteobacteria; Oceanospirillales; Halomonadaceae.
CCUACGGGUGGCAGCAGUGGGGAAUAUUGGACAAUGGGGGGAACCCUGAUCCAGCCAUGCCGCGUGUGUGAAGAAGGCCCUCGGGUUGUAAAGCACUUUCAGUGAGGAAGAACGCCUGGUGGUUAAUACCCAUCAGGAAAGACAUCACUCACAGAAGAAGCACCGGCUAACUCCGUGCCAGCAGCCGCGGUAAUACGGAGGGUGCGAGCGUUAAUCGGAAUUACUGGGCGUAAAGCGCGCGUAGGUGGCUUGAUAAGCCGGUUGUGAAAGCCCCGGGCUCAACCUGGAACGGCAUCCGGAACUGUCAAGCUAGAGUGCAGGAGAGGAAGGUAGAAUUCCCGGUGUAGCGGUGAAAUGCGUAGAGAUCGGGAGGAAUACCAGUGGCGAAGGCGGCCUUCUGGACUGACACUGACACUGAGGUGCGAAAGCGUGGGUAGCAAACAGGAUUAGAUACCCCAGUAGUC